Long non-coding RNA from Galeopterus variegatus (Sunda flying lemur), 164 nucleotides. RefSeq lists it as uncharacterized. NCBI's taxonomy places the organism in Eukaryota, Metazoa, Chordata, Mammalia, Dermoptera, Cynocephalidae. The transcript has 2 exons. The record is from RefSeq and is a predicted model, not a curated record.
CCACACCAUGGUUCGUUCUUGUUUAUUGUUUCGUAGAAAACAGGUUCUUUAACACUUUGUACGAACAUCUCACAAACUGCUGCUCCUAGAUUACAAAAUGUCAAAGCCAAUUUUCUUUGACACUAGGCCCUUGAAUCUGACAUUCAAGUCACCAAAUAGAAACC